This 1193-nucleotide ribosomal RNA is filed under the name Acinetobacter baumannii EGD-HP18. RNAcentral's name for it is "bacterial SSU rRNA". It matches the Rfam family "Bacterial small subunit ribosomal RNA", at positions 1 to 1174 of the family's 1533-position model. The record is from RNAcentral. Lineage: Bacteria; Pseudomonadati; Pseudomonadota; Gammaproteobacteria; Moraxellales; Moraxellaceae.
UUUUAUGGAGAGUUUGAUCCUGGCUCAGGAUGAACGCUGGCGGCGUGCCUAAUACAUGCAAGUCGAGCGAACAGAUAAGGAGCUUGCUCCUUUGACGUUAGCGGCGGACGGGUGAGUAACACGUGGAUAACCUACCUAUAAGACUGGGAUAACUUCGGGAAACCGGAGCUAAUACCGGAUAACAUAUUGAACCGCAUGGUUCAAUAGUGAAAGGCGGCUUUGCUGUCACUUAUAGAUGGAUCCGCGCCGUAUUAGCUAGUUGGUAAGGUAACGGCUUACCAAGGCAACGAUACGUAGCCGACCUGAGAGGGUGAUCGGCCACACUGGAACUGAGACACGGUCCAGACUCCUACGGGAGGCAGCAGUAGGGAAUCUUCCGCAAUGGGCGAAAGCCUGACGGAGCAACGCCGCGUGAGUGAUGAAGGUCUUCGGAUCGUAAAACUCUGUUAUCAGGGAAGAACAAAUGUGUAAGUAACUGUGCACAUCUUGACGGUACCUGAUCAGAAAGCCACGGCUAACUACGUGCCAGCAGCCGCGGUAAUACGUAGGUGGCAAGCGUUAUCCGGAAUUAUUGGGCGUAAAGCGCGCGUAGGCGGUUUUUUAAGUCUGAUGUGAAAGCCCACGGCUCAACCGUGGAGGGUCAUUGGAAACUGGAAAACUUGAGUGCAGAAGAGGAAAGUGGAAUUCCAUGUGUAGCGGUGAAAUGCGCAGAGAUAUGGAGGAACACCAGUGGCGAAGGCGACUUUCUGGUCUGUAACUGACGCUGAUGUGCGAAAGCGUGGGGAUCAAACAGGAUUAGAUACCCUGGUAGUCCACGCCGUAAACGAUGAGUGCUAAGUGUUAGGGGGUUUCCGCCCCUUAGUGCUGCAGCUAACGCAUUAAGCACUCCGCCUGGGGAGUACGACCGCAAGGUUGAAACUCAAAGGAAUUGACGGGGACCCGCACAAGCGGUGGAGCAUGUGGUUUAAUUCGAAGCAACGCGAAGAACCUUACCAAAUCUUGACAUCCUUUGACCGCUCUAGAGAUAGAGUCUUCCCCUUCGGGGGACAAAGUGACAGGUGGUGCAUGGUUGUCGUCAGCUCGUGUCGUGAGAUGUUGGGUUAAGUCCCGCAACGAGCGCAACCCUUAAGCUUAGUUGCCAUCAUUAAGUUGGGCACUCUAAGUUGACUGCCGGUGACAAACCGGAGGAAGGU